UCGGGAAUUUUGGACAAUGGGGGAAACCCUGAUCCAGCGACGCCGCGUGGAGGAAGAAGGUUUUCGGAUUGUAAACUCCUUUUCACUAGGAGGCCCAGGUUUUUGUGAUCAAUGGUUGAUCAUAAGAAUCUGGGAUACAGUACUAGUGGAAUAAGUCACGGCUAACUACGUGCCAGCAGCCGCGGUAAUACGUAGGUGGCUAGCGUUAUUCGGAAUUACUGGGCGUAAAGCGUUCGUAGGCUUUUUUGUAGGUCUUUGAUUAAAUGCUGAAGCUCAACUUCAGUUCGGUUGAAGAAACCCCAAGAAUAGAAGGGUAUCGAGGUAAGUGGAAUUUGUGGUGUAGCAGUGAAAUGCGUUGAUAUCACAAGGAACACCAAUGGCGAAGGCAGCUUACUAGGUAUUACUUGACGCUGAGGAACGAAAGCGUGGGGAGCAAACGGG
This 441-nucleotide ribosomal RNA is filed under the name uncultured bacterium. RNAcentral describes it as "bacterial SSU rRNA". It matches the Rfam family "Bacterial small subunit ribosomal RNA", at positions 355 to 776 of the family's 1533-position model. The record is from RNAcentral.